CCUACGGGUGGCUGCAGUGGGGAAUCUUGCGCAAUGGGCGAAAGCCUGACGCAGCGACGCCGCGUGGGUGACGAAGGCCUUCGGGUUGUAAAGCCCUGUGGGGCGAGACGAACAGGGACGGGUCGAACAGGCCCGUGUUUUGACGGUAUCGCCUUAGCAAGCACCGGCUAACUCUGUGCCAGCAGCCGCGGUAAGACAGAGGGUGCAAACGUUGCUCGGAAUUACUGGGCGUAAAGCGCGUGUAGGCGGCUUUGUAAGUCCAACGUGAAAGCCCGGGGCUCAACCCCGGAAGUGCGUAGGAUACUGCGAAGCUGGAGUCCUGAAGAGGAGAGCGGAAUUCCCGGUGUAGAGGUGAAAUUCGUAGAUAUCGGGAGGAACACCUGUGGCGAAGGCGGCUCUCUGGGCAGGUACUGACGCUGAGACGCGAAAGCGUGGGGAGCAAACAGGAUUAGAUACCCCUGUAGUC
RNAcentral lists this ribosomal RNA (466 nucleotides) under uncultured bacterium. Its description in RNAcentral is "bacterial SSU rRNA". It matches the Rfam family "Bacterial small subunit ribosomal RNA", at positions 338 to 795 of the family's 1533-position model. The record is from RNAcentral.